ACUCCUACGGGAGGCAGCAGUGGGGAAUAUUGCACAAUGGGCGAAAGCCUGAUGCAGCAACGCCGCGUGCGGGAUGACGGCCUUCGGGUUGUAAACCGCUUUCAGUAGGGACGAAGGGUGACUGACGGUACCUACAGAAGAAGGACCGGCUAACUACGUGCCAGCAGCCGCGGUGAUACGUAGGGUCCGAGCGUUGUCCGGAAUUAUUGGGCGUAAAGGGCUUGUAGGCGGUUCGUCGCGUCAGAAGUGAAAACUCAGGGCUUAACCCUGAGCCUGCUUUUGAUACGGGCGGACUAGAGGGAUGCAGGGGAGAACGGAAUUCCUGGUGGAGCGGUGGAAUGCGCAGAUAUCAGGAGGAACACCGGUGGCGAAGGCGGUUCUCUGGGCAUUACCUGACGCUGAGAAGCGAAAGCGUGGGGAGCAAACAGGCUUAGAUACCCUGGUA
Molecule: ribosomal RNA, 445 nt
Filed under: uncultured bacterium
Lineage: Bacteria
Description: bacterial SSU rRNA
Rfam family: Bacterial small subunit ribosomal RNA
Source: RNAcentral